RNAcentral lists this ribosomal RNA (258 nucleotides) under uncultured bacterium. Its description in RNAcentral is "partial 16S ribosomal RNA". It matches the Rfam family "Bacterial small subunit ribosomal RNA", at positions 795 to 1052 of the family's 1533-position model. The record is from RNAcentral.
CCAUGCCGUAAACGUUGGGCGCUAGAUGUAGGGACCUUUCCACGGUUUCUGUGUCGUAGCUAACGCAUUAAGCGCCCCGCCUGGGGAGUACGGCCGCAAGGCUAAAACUCAAAGGAAUUGACGGGGGCCCGCACAAGCGGCGGAGCAUGCGGAUUAAUUCGAUGCAACGCGAAGAACCUUACCAAGGCUUGACAUACACCGGAAACGGCCAGAGAUGGUCGCCCCCUUGUGGUCGGUGUACAGGUGGUGCAUGGUUGU